CAGCACAUUCUCUCCCCUGUAGGCAGUAAGUCAUUUUAUUCCUGAAGCAAUGCCCAGUGGGCGAAGAACUAGAAUAAGAAGGAACAGGCUCUAGAAGUCUGAUGUCCAGAGAUUUUCUCAGAAAUACUCCUGCCAAUGGGCUGACAUCAUUUUGUUGUUAGCUUUUUGAUGAUGGAGACACAUUGCUAUAAGAUUUCUAGAGGUGUUUAAAGUAUUUAUUUCCUGUAUUUUUUUUUUUUUGGCUCUUUUUUUUUUGAGGGCCACACCUGUAGCAAAUGGAAGUUCCCAGGCUCUAGGUCGAAUGGGAGCUGUAGCUGCCAGCCUACGCCACAGCCACACAAUGCAGGAUCUGAGCUGCGUCUGGGACUUAAGCCACAGCUCGUGGCAACACCAAAUCCUUAACCCACUGAAUGAGGCCAGGGAUCAAACCCACAUCCUCAUGGAUGCUAGUUGGAUUCAUAAUCUGCUGAGCCACAAUGGGAACUUACUUCCUAUUUGUAUAAGUAUUUAUUGCAAGGUUUUCUUUAAAAUUUUAUGACUUUUAAAAACCUUGUUCCUAGAACAACAAAGUGGAAAUUUGGACUAAGACUUUGAUCCAAUUUUUUUCAUUCUUCCUCUUUAAGUCUAUGUGGUUGGACAAAGCAGUUAAUGUCUAUGAACUUUAUAUUUCCUCUCUGAAAAUGAGAGAAUUGUUCUAGAACACAAGAGAGUGUCCAAGACUUCUUCCAACUCUCAGGUUUCUAUAACUGAAGACAUAUGUAAGUCUUCCCUAGCAGAACUCAACCAUUCUUUUUCUAAUUAUUUCUUGAUUUUAUGCAGUCAUUACUAGUAAAGCCUCUCUUUGUCUCCAGCCUAUAAAUAAACACACUAAAUAUCUACUGAUUGCUUUCAGCUGUUCAGAUUUACUGAGAGAGUCUAGAUUUGUUACCUGUAAGAAUGAGGCUUGAAUACAAAGUAAUGAAAAAGUGUGUUUCACAACCCCCAGUGUUUACAUGGCCAAAAAGGUGUUGGGUUUCAAGGGAGUCACUCAGGAACCUACAUAUUUACUCUGCUGAAGCUAUCAUUACUCAGAGUCUUGCAGCUCCUCUCUUGGACUUGCCUUUAGGCGGGAUGUCACCCAAGCAACUAUCUUGUUUGAUAGCGUGUAUCUCGGUUUUGAUCCCCAAUGAUAUAUUUUGGCUUGCUCACUUGAGACACUUUCAUUACUCUCGCUUUUGAAUGCCAGCACUGUCCAGAUAUCAAGGCAACUAUCACAGGAAGUUUUUCCAAUCUAUCUAAGAUUGCUUUUUGCAGAUAUUAAGCACUAUAUAAACCUUGCUUAAGAGAAUGUGCUGAAGGCUUUGAAAGUAAUUCACAAGGAAUUCAAAACAAUUGCAUUUUGAUCAAUGACACCCUCAUUGGAGUAAAUACCUUGUCUUCAAAUACAAAUAGGAUGUAUGUUACACACAUGUAUGUAUGUUUUACACUCACACGUGUACACGUGCAUACAUGUACACCCCUCCUCUUACAUACCAGGCAUUAAACCUCAUGAUUUACCCACAUGCUAUCACUUGAAUCUUGCAGUAACUAUUUGAGUGAUUAUUUGAAGGGGAUGAUAACUUAUUGAAGUAUGGAAAUUUUAGUGUCCUUGCAUAAAAAAAGGAACUUUCUAUACUUUAGAGCCACCACUCAUAUCUUUGUUCAUUCCUUGUUCAUGAAAUUCUGUAGAGGAGGAGAGCUGUGGCUUUCUUUAGUACAUUGCAUUUCAAACCUGCACAACCCUUAUAAUAAGUGACUCUAUUCUGUUUUAUAUAUUAAAGCCAUGAUGAUAUAUUUAAAGAGAAAUUGUCUUCUUACUCUGGUCUCCAUACAAGGAACUGUUUACCAUCACCCAUGGAAUUCCCUAUCCUGUGAGUUUUCUCUUGUGUCAGGCCUUCUUCUGUCUGUUAAUGGAGUCAUUAUUUAUUUAGCAGUUUGUUAAAAUCUGGAGAGGUUACCUAUAGAGUCUUAUUUAGAUUAGGCUAGAUAAACACCAAGAAGGUCUUACAUCUGCAUGUCCUAGUUAAUAAGUGACAGCCACCAUUAGGAAACAAGUAUCUUUAAACUCAUUUGGAUAAGUGUGGGCCCAAGAUCGCUCUAAACCAGAACCACGUGUAGUUUGAAGAUGUUAUCAGCCAAGAACAUAAGUGCCGGUCCUGUGGUCCCUAAGGGGAAUCCUUGAGUUUUUAGGGAGGCUGCUGUCUAGGCAGAUUUCUGGGGGCCUUUUGUGUUUCUGACCCACCAAUAAAUUUGCUGCUGACAAAUAACUGGAGUAACAGGUUAGGUUCACAAAAGUGCAGCUCAAAUAAUGAUUAUUUUAAAAUGUAAGUCCAGAGAUGGACCCAGAACAACUGCUGUUUGCUUCCGCACAGAAUCUCCAAAAGUUCAGAAAGGCCUCAACUGGGGGUGGGGUGGGGGGAGACAACAGAAAAACCUGCCACUACUUACAAAAGCGUCAUUUGGUUUUCAAUCAGUUGAAGGACUUUGCCUGAGAUGGUACUUGUGAAAUUGAUCUCAAUUAAAAUCAGCCCGAGUGUGCUCACCCUUCCACAAUAGCUCUGAGGGGCCCUGGGAGAGGCGUCUUGCUAUUCCGCUGUCAUAGCACCGACACCUGUCUGCUCUAUCCUGGCACUUUUCCUGUUUUUAAUUUUCACCUCAGUCUUUUCUUUUAAGCAGUCUUUGACCUCUGCGGCAUCCCUAACGAACCCCUUUCAACGUGCGCGCCUCCCGUGUCCGCAUCCGCGUUGUAAUGGAAAUGCGGGGAGGAAUAGGGGUGUCUUUCACCUCUGACAGCAGGGCAGGCACGCGGCUUGCAGCUGUCAGGACAGUGACACGCUGCUGCAGCAGGAUAAUUGGGUACUUGAGGAAGAUUCAUAACGCAAUGUGCCGCAGAGCCCCGUGUCCUGCCCCGGGGCAGCCAGGGGAGGAGAGAAAGAGAAGGAUCCAUUGGGGGAUUGAAAUCUGCUCUUGAUAAAUAAUCACCUAUUUAUAACAGGACAGGAUGACGACUUUUGUUCCCCGGCAGGCCAGGAUUCAUGCAACUCCAAGGAUGACUUUUAAAGAUUUCGAGAUUGAACUUUAGGCAAGGUGAAUCAAAGCGAGGCUGGUGUGCGAGUCAGAACGAUGCUUCAAUGUCCCAUCCCAGAGGAAGCAGUGAAUCUCACACGGCACAGGUCUUUUCAUACCAGGAAGUUUGUUGUUUUAAUCAAAGCAAGCCAUCUGACAGCUCAUUAUUAAGAGACAACAAGAAGUGACUUUAUUAAUAUAGCGUGGAGUUGGUUCCUCUGCAAAUUAAAGUUCUUUGUUCACUUGUGACGGUUUGCCAAGGAGGCAUCUGUUAAGAGGUACCAAGUGGGAUAACAUUUUAAAAGUGUCAUGUGAUAACAAUUAACCUAUAAUUCCUUCUUACAUUCUCCCCUUUCAAUUGUAUUAGAUAAAUUUAUCAUGAAAGGUGAUGAAGACAAAAUCUUUCAUGUGCUUUCCUUGUGAAGUGGCCCCUCAGGAUUGGCAGAAGCUGUCACAAACUUAGUGGCAUUUAUUUCCCCCAAUAUUUAUGAUUUUGCUUAUGGAAUGUGACAGGUUGAUGGUUACUCUGCCUGCCUUGAUUGUAAACAGUCAGGAUUCUUCAUUUAAACAUAAGAUUUUAGGGGGGAAAGUAAUGGGUUGAUAUAUUCAGUCAGUGUGUUGUGUUAACUAAAUAUGAGACAGACUCAGGUAACAAUAGGUAGUAAUAUCAGAGCUAGGAAAAAAAGAUUUUUCCUUCUGUAUUGGGAGCCUGGGCAUUCUGAAUUCUUGAAUCAAUAUGUAGGCAAUGAAAAGAUUUAUAUUUGAUAAUCUGGAAAAUUAAUUUGAAAGGCAGGAAUGAGGACCUGUAAAUAAUAGCCCAUAGUAAAAACAGCCUCAUGCCUAGUUCAAAGUUCUACCACAGUUUGGAUUUUGAAGGCUGCAUGACAUAACUUUCAUCAUGGCCGUUUUCUUUUUUCUUUUCUUUUUUUUCAUUUUUGGCCAUGUCCACAGCAUCAAACCCAUGUCACAGCAGUGGCAACACUGAAUCCUUAACCACUAGGCCACCAGAGAACUCCCCUUCUUAUAUUUUUACUUUACUGGAAAUCACUGCAAAUUGACCCAUGAAAGAAAUGCGAGGACUCUAGGCAUCCUUGGACAAUGAACAGAAUCUUCUAUGACUUGUUGAAUUGACAUUUUCUGGUUGGUUAAAUAUUGUCAGAGAUAAAUUUCCUCUUGGGAAAUUUUUUAAGAGAUCGGCUUUAAGUUGCUAGGAUUUUUAACCAUAAAAUCCCUAAAACUCAAAAUGCCUGAGUUAUUCUUGGGCCCAUAGUGCGGGUACGUUCAAAUUGCUCUUUAUUUGGGGUGAUAAUUUAGGAGUUACCAUAGUUUUACUUCCUGAUACCUAGAAAAUGCUGGGUAAGUGUAAUAAAUGGAUCAGGACAUCAAAUAAGUAACUGAGCAUAUGUUGCCAUUUAAAGUUCCUGCCAAUGGAAACAAAGAAUAUAACUCAUUUCUUUCCACUUGGAUUGUGUCUCUAAAAAAAAAAGCUACAGAUUUUCUUUCAGUCACUUAUCCAGAGUUUACUUGGAAUCUGCUGUGUGCUGGGCCUUGUGUUAGUAACCUCACCUACAAAGAUGGGUAAGACAGAGUCCUUGGCUCAGAGGGUUCAAGGCCAAUAAGCACCCAGAACUACUGUACUAAGGGCCAGGUGAGAAGUUUGCAGAAGACGCACCAGAGACGUUAAGAAAAGUGAUACUAUAUAAUUACACACUCAGAACUGCUUAUCAUUCUCCUCUAUAUUAUACAUGUAAUCCAAAAGUGUUUAAAAGAAUAGAGAAAAUUUGUUUCCCCUUAAAUAAUCUCUUCCUCAUUCUCCAAGUCUUCUGAGAAUUAUCAAAUGAACACCUCCCAGAUGAGAGAAACGAGGUAGAGUUUUCUUUUUCUUUUUCUUUUCUUGUCUUUUUGUCUUUUUAGGGCUGUACCUGCGGCAUGUGGAGGUUCCCGGGCUAGGGGUUUAAUCGGACCUGUUGCCGCUGGCCUACGCCACAGCCACAGCAGUGCGGGAUCUGAGCUGCAUCUGCGACCUACACCACAGCUCAGUGCAACACUGUGGAUCCCUAACCCACUGAGUGAGGUCAGGGAUCAAACCUUCGCCACGACGGGAACUCCAGAAUUUUCUUUAGGAUGUGCCCGUACAUGACUCUGUUUUGGAUAAAGAUGACUAGCUGUCUGACCAGGGGAGAGGAAGGCAGGCAGGCAGUCUGUGGGGUUCCCAGAGGGACCUAGGUCUUUCUGAGCUCUCUCCCUUCGCUGCUUCCCUCCACUCCAUGUUCUCCUGUCCCCCCCAGGUCUACCUGCCCCUCCCAUCCCCUAGAUGUAUUGCAUCUUUUUCUGCUCCCCCUUCAUGCUGCCCUGUGGGUUGGUGCUCCGUUCUAUCCUGUGCUGCUCGAUGGGGACCUGCCCAGUUCGACAACUCAACCUGUGCUAAAUUCUGAAUGCUGAAUGAGGCUCAGAGUCUGUCUCAGCCUUCUUCACAAGAGAGCAGAUGCGGGAAAGGACAGCAUCUGUGCAGGCAUCUUGGGGUAAGUGCCUAAGGUGAUCACCUGGGCUCCUGCCAUGUGGCCCCACCGGCCACUGGGAGCCUGCUGGGAUGAUGAUCAGUUGUAUCAGUGACCAUUUGUACCAGGCCUGAAGCCCAGCAUACAGACUGGGACUUCUGGUUUUCAUCCCUCCCUGGAACAUUCUGGCAUUUUAUUAGGAAAUCUCCAAUGCCCAGAGAUACAAGGAGAGGUAUCCUGCUUGGUAGUUCAGAUCUCUACAUUUUGACCAGCUUGAGCUGAAAAAUCUGGCUCUGUUCUAUGAGUGGAGUGACUUUGGGCUGUGUGCUUAACGUUUUUGUCCCUCAGUGCCCUCCUCGGAGGGUUGUAAGUUGGAGUGGAGUCUUUGAGUGAAGGUACAUCAAACAGUCAGGGCAGGAUUUCCAGGCAGUGUGUGUCCCAUCAAGCCAUCUUGCUGUUGUUUGUGGAUAUUUUAGACAGCAGCAAGGCCGCUGGAUGAGAGACUAAAUAAGUGAGAAAAAUAUUUUACAUAAAUCUCUUAUCUCAAAGCAAAUAACUCAUGUGCUUCCUUGCAUCUAUGCAUAAAUGAAUAUAUAAAUAUGUGUAUAAAUAUAUAUAUAUUCACACACCUACACCCUUGUUCUUUGGUGUCCGUAGGGGGAUUGGUUCCAAGACCCCCCAAAUCCACAGGCGCUCAAGUCUCAUAUAAAAUGGUAUGGUAUUUUUCAUCCAACCUAGACACAUACUCCUGUAUAGUUUAAAUCAUCUCAGGAUUACUUAUAAUACCUGAUAUAAUGUAAAUGCUAUGUAAAUAGUUGUAAAUACAAUGUAAAUGCUAUGUAAAUAGUUGCCAGAGUGUGGCAAAUUGAAGUUUUGCUUUUUGGAAUUGCUUUUUGGGACUUUCUGGGAUUUUUUUUUCUCCCUGAAAAUUUAGUUCACAGUUAGUUGAAUUCCUGGAUGCAGAACCCUGGAUACCGAGGGCCAGCCGUGACUCAGUGGGUUAGGGAUUGGGAUGUCACUUCUGUUUUCUCACCUUUGUUCCCCAGUUCACCCUUCCUUGUGUUUUCAACUUGGCUGAGAUGUGAUGUCCUCUUGAGAUCCCUGCUUUUACUCCAUUUAUCUUCUCAGGGAGAGAGGCAGGCAGUAAACAGGUCAACAAAUAAAUGGGAUAAUUGAGAAUCAUGAUGGGAUGGCGAUGACAAAGCAUGCUGCAUGGAAUUCCUAGGAGGUAAUUUGCUGGCAGGGAACUGAAGGACGGGAGGUCUCUGCAGGGUCUUUCUGCUGAGGGAUCCUCAGAUGCAAAUCAGAGGAAGAACUCGGUUCUUCGUUUUUAGGGAUCAGAAAGGAGGCUAGUGAUACUGGAGCUGGGUGAGCACAGCCAAGGUGGUGGUAGAGGAGGUCAGAAACUCAGGCCAAUCCUUAUAAAAGAUUUCCUGGUCCUCCUUGCCCCUAGAUGCUGGAGACCAUGUACAUUGGAACCUGAUCACUAAAACCUUGCUGGUAGAAUCUCAGAAUCUCAUUUACCCAAAGUUAAAAGUACCCUAACUUCCCCACCCCAUCCUUCAGCCACAGCUUCUUGUCCACUGUGACUUGACAUCCUUCAUCACCUCAUGCAAUUCCUGGCACAAAGUAAGGGCUUGAUAGAUAUUACCAGGAUAUUCACAUGAAUGAGUUGAAUACUGGAUACCCUGGGGAAAACGAGCUGUUGUUUUAAGAAGACAUUGCAGGAGUUCUCUGGUGGCUCAGUGGGUUAAGGAUCGGGGAUAUCACUUCUGUGGCCCAGGUCACGGCUGUGGUGCGGGUUCCAUCCCUGGCUCGGAACUUCUGCAUGCCAGUGGGCACAGCCAAAAACAAAAAGCAAAAAAAAACACAGCACUUCUUUAUGCACAAAGGUUACCUUCCUUCUCUGAACAGAGCUCUGCUGUCUCCUUGGCCCCACCCACUUGUUCUGUGUUUCUUUGGAGAAUUUUUGAAUUCCAUUUAGCACUGAGUAAAAUGUCUCCUUCCCCCCGCCCCCGCUAAUUAUAAUCAUAGUAGCAGUGAACUAAACAGUUGGGGGUGAAAGAAAUUCUGAUGAUGUUAAAAAUGCAAAUAGUUUUCACACCAGAUUAAUUCAUUUAACUAAGAGUCCUGAUCUUUAAACAUUAAACGUUUGAGUGUGAAACGUUUUAUUCACAGGGGAGAAAGUCCACGGUGAAGCUGAUCUGAAGCUCAUUCCUCUAUCAGGAGUGAUGUGAAGAUAAACAGGAUGCAUAUUGUUGCCUAGCUAUGAACUAACAAGUUGUGAGUUCUUUACAACAUUUCAGGAUGUGAUUUACAUGAUUCAAGAUUAGCAGGUCUGGGGAACUCUGGGGCUGUUUGAGAUUAGAAGAAGCCAAGUCAUAUAAGGAUCUGAGCGGAUGUUUGUGUUAUCUGCAUGUUUGACUAAUAUUUGAAUUAAAUGUUUUAUAUUUAAUCAAAGCAAAAUUGAAAGUCAUUAUGACUGCUGAUACGCAAUACUAAUUACAGGAAAUAACCAGCCCUUCCAUGUUCAGUGCAAAAUGCUGAUGGUGGAGCAGUCUCUUCUCUGGAGGGGGAAAUCAUAGGUCUCAGAUCUGGAAGAGAAUUUAGUUCGCUGUGUUUCAGCUAUUUUAAACCCAGACUCUCUC
Molecule: long non-coding RNA, 8230 nt
Filed under: Sus scrofa (pig)
Lineage: Eukaryota; Metazoa; Chordata; Mammalia; Artiodactyla; Suidae
Description: lncRNA (ENSSSCG00000052875.1)
Source: RNAcentral